Long non-coding RNA from Arvicola amphibius (Eurasian water vole), 321 nucleotides. RefSeq lists it as uncharacterized. NCBI's taxonomy places the organism in Eukaryota, Metazoa, Chordata, Mammalia, Rodentia, Cricetidae. The record is from RefSeq and is a predicted model, not a curated record. The transcript has 3 exons.
GGAGAACACACUAUACACUCGUCAGUGCUGGAGAUGGAGGGAGAGAAGGAAGAAGCCAGGAUCUGAGAAAAUGGAGAACAUCAAGGAUGGGAAGAAGCACAGAGCAGCCCUCUAUCCCCAGAUGAAGUCUCACCAUUUAGCUCAGGCAGGACUCAAUGUCUCCAUCAUCCUGCCUCAGUGACCUGAACGCUGAUAUUACAGUUGCUUCUAGAGCCCCUCCAUGUCCUAAAAAGAUUAAAUCAUUGUGUCAAACUAUUGAUGCCCAAGUAAGCAAACGUGGGGAUUUCCUUCGGAAAAUGGUCACCUACUGGGGAAAAAAAC